Molecule: long non-coding RNA, 402 nt
Organism: Cannabis sativa
Lineage: Eukaryota; Viridiplantae; Streptophyta; Magnoliopsida; Rosales; Cannabaceae
Exons: 2
Source: RefSeq, a predicted model, not a curated record
UGUGAUGUUCGGUGAUGUUGCAGAAAACAUAUUCUCAUGUACUGCAGUUCAAUUAAGAUCAUAUUCGGACGAGAAACAUAAGUUGUUUGUCCAAAAAACUACAAGGCAACUAUCAGCCAAAAAAUGGAGAAUUCAGUUGUACGUAGAUGCAAACCGAACAAUGAGUUCAAAGUACAAUCAGUUCACCAUUCAAGCAGUUGAACCAAUGGAAGAUUAGGCAGAAGUUGUCAUUUUUCUUUUACAGUAAUUUUAUUUUAUUUAGUGUUAAGACUUUUCUUGGUGCCGAGCUUCUUUCACUUUCUAUUGACUUGUUAUCUACGGAUUUACAUGGAGUAUUGUAUGCAAGUCUUUCAUAAAUCCAAUAUUCUAGAAGUAAAUAAUAAGUAUCGUUUUAUUUUGAUU